GUGUGCUGUGGCAGCUCUGUGGGAAAGCUGCUCUGAGUGCCUGUGGGUGGCUCUGGCAGAGGGCUGAGCAUCUCAGGAGGUAGGGCAUGGUGGAGGCUUGCUUGAAGAUGAGAAGAGGAACACGUGAGAUGAGAGGCAGUGUGCUCUAAAGGGUUUUUCUGGCUGGUUAUUUCGUGUGGAAGUCCUUCUCCCUUCGUGUGAGUGUUUGGAGGUGCUGCUCUCCUGAUAAGCUGAACACCUGGCUGGCUGAGAGCUCCUUACAGGGGAUUGUGGGAUUUACAUACUGUCAAAGCUUCUCAAGCCUUGGAAAUGAGAAACUGUGGAUGGCAGCAGUGGAUUCUUCUGGAAGUCCUGCAGGGUUGGCUGCAUGCUCCCUGGCUGGCAGAGGACCCUGGAGAUGAGAGAACCAAUAUUGCUGCGAAGGUUAUUCCUAGCACAGGAGCAGUUAAGAAUCUGUCUGCACACAAAUGACGAAUUAUUGUAAUCUGAACAAAGAAUGGGGCAGUAAAGAUCACACCGGUUGGAAACUUUAAAGGGACUAGAGGCAGAAAGAUGAAAAGAUGAAUAAAAAAAGAUUCUUAAUGCUUACAAAUGCAGAAAUGUGGCUAAUUGGUACAAAUGACAAACACUUAAGAAGCGGACUUGAAUAACAGUUGCUAAGAUUCUCUGGCUUGUUGCAGCACUGCUGGGGUGCGCUUAGGGCGGCAUUUGGAUCCUGAAAUAGUGCCUGAUGCUCCUUCUGCUGUGAAAUCAGAAGGAAAACAUUCCUGUGUGGUGCGUUUCUAAUGUUUUCCUAAUGCCAUUUUAUCAGCCUGGCUUCCAGCUUAAAGUAUCACUUGAGUGCAUGGUGGGGCAGAACGCUGCUGCAGGAAUUGGGUUUGUUGGAUCGUGAGAGCACAGUGCUCCUUUCUGUCCUUGAAACCUCCCUGUGUCAUUCUGCACCCAUGUCCUGAGGAUGGCAGGAUUUCACCUGAGCAAUCUUUCAGCCAGGUAGCACAGUUUCAGGACCGGCGAUGGUCUGACAUCUCACACCACACCCAGAGAACUCCCACCUGAUGAAGCAGCCAGGCAGGAGCAGGUAUACCUGCUAGCAGAGCUUGGGGAGCACCCAAAGUAUUCUGGUGGAAAGGUUUUGGCCGAGGAAAUUCGGGCCCAGCUUCCAAAGUUUGCUUUGUUUUGGUGUGAAACAUGGAUUUGUGUUACAGUUGCAGUAGGCUUGCUUGGUGCUUUGCCCACGAUUAAUCAAACCUCGCAGAGGCUGGCCUUGGUGCAAGCUUGGCAGCAGGACCUGUGCCUGGGCAUGUUUACCUUGGCUUUGCAUUUCAUCGUGGACCUCUAUUUGUGGGCAGUAAAUCAAAUGCAUGAUAAGCUUACAGAGGAUCUGGACUGCGUCUAAUAGAUGCCAUUACACUGCUUGUUCAAAGCUGCGUGUGUGACAAGGUCAGCUCAUAAAAAUAGCAUAAAUUUCAUAUUUUCUUGACUCCCACAGAGGACUGCGGGAGGGAGAGACGUAGGGAUUGCUGCAGUGCGUGGAGCAUAGUGAUCUCUGCAGUUCAUCCAUAAUCCGUCAGAAAUCUGUCAUCUUUCCAAAGUUACUGUUUUAUAAGCUGCAAACUUAACGGUCACCUCUGUCCUGAUGGUACAGCACACUCCACAUCCCCUUAAUGGGAGA
Molecule: long non-coding RNA, 1672 nt
Organism: Lagopus muta (rock ptarmigan)
Lineage: Eukaryota; Metazoa; Chordata; Aves; Galliformes; Phasianidae
Exons: 3
Source: RefSeq, a predicted model, not a curated record